Non-coding RNA from Podarcis muralis (Common wall lizard), 304 nucleotides. Lineage: Eukaryota; Metazoa; Chordata; Lepidosauria; Squamata; Lacertidae. The record is from RefSeq and is a predicted model, not a curated record.
UCUAUAAGCUAAUUUGAGUUGUGUGAAAGAGUUCUUUCUUUUGUCUGUUCUGAAUCUAGUGCCAAACAAUUUCAAUGGGUGAGUCUGAGCUUCAUUUUACGAGAGAAAGAGAGAGACCUUUCUAUCCAUCCUCUCUAAAUCAACCUUAAUUUUAUAAGCCAUGCAGGCAUCUCCCAGCAGAAAUUAAAAUAGAUACAACUAAAACACACAAUAAAUCUGUUAAUCACAAAAUACUGCAGUAAUGCAAAGUACCUGAACCAUCAGAAGUAGCUGGCACCAGUAAAGAGGAAAGGCAGAAAGAAAC